Molecule: ribosomal RNA, 468 nt
Filed under: uncultured bacterium
Lineage: Bacteria
Description: partial 16S ribosomal RNA
Rfam family: Bacterial small subunit ribosomal RNA
Source: RNAcentral
GACGAACGCUGGCGGCGUGCUUAACACAUGCAAGUCGAACGGAAAGGCCCUGCUUUUGUGGGGUGCUCGAGUGGCGAACGGGUGAGUAACACGUGAGUAACCUGCCCUUGACUUUGGGAUAACUUCAGGAAACUGGGGCUAAUACCGGAUAGGAGCUCCUGCUGCAUGGUGGGGGUUGGAAAGUUUCGGCGGGUGGGGAUGGACGGGCGGCUGAUCGGCUAGUUGGUGGGGUAGUGGCUUACCAAGGCUUUGGCGGGUCGGCGGCCGGAGAGGGUGAACGGCCACAAGAGGCCUGAGGGAGGGAGCAGUGGGGAAUGGUAGGCAACGGGCGCGAGCCUGGUACAGUCAUAGCGCGUGGGUGAAGAAGGCCCUCGGUUUGUGAAGACCGUUUGCUGGGUGUGAAACGCAGCCGCUUGAGACGCAGCUGUACUGACGGUACCGGAUGAAGAAGCACCGGCUAACUUCGUG